GCAUCUUUAGCUUAAAGUGAAAGCAGACCGCCUAAACAGCCGUUAUAUGUAGGUUCGAACCCUACAAGGUGCA
RNAcentral lists this transfer RNA (73 nucleotides) under Bacillus thuringiensis. RNAcentral's name for it is "tRNA-Phe". It matches the Rfam family "tRNA". From Rfam's summary of the family: Transfer RNA (tRNA) molecules are approximately 80 nucleotides in length. RNAcentral also lists the same sequence under 2 other names. The record is from RNAcentral. Lineage: Bacteria; Bacillati; Bacillota; Bacilli; Caryophanales; Bacillaceae.